AGCUGCUCUGGCAGCACAUAGAACAAACUGGAAGGAUCCAGAGAAGAUCAUCGUGGUCCUUGCACAAGGACAACGCACAAAUUCAAGAGGCAUUCCAUAUUUAA
Non-coding RNA from Ictidomys tridecemlineatus (thirteen-lined ground squirrel), 104 nucleotides. NCBI's taxonomy places the organism in Eukaryota, Metazoa, Chordata, Mammalia, Rodentia, Sciuridae. The record is from Rfam.